Molecule: long non-coding RNA, 1292 nt
Filed under: Nicotiana tabacum (common tobacco)
Lineage: Eukaryota; Viridiplantae; Streptophyta; Magnoliopsida; Solanales; Solanaceae
Description: long non-coding RNA (NTAB_LNC010979)
Source: RNAcentral
AGAUUUAACAAAAUCUCAUUUUUAAGACACUACAAUCUUAGCAAUAUUCUUCUUGCAACAAAUUCCUACAAAAGAAAAUCCAACGAGAAUUUUUAGAGUCUUAGAAACGGAGAGAUUUUUGCGAUUCUAAGGGAGUGCGAUGCAACCUUUUCCAAAAAUAUCAUAUGGAUUUUUGUCUACUACUCCAGGUAUGUUAAGGCUAAGCCUUUCCUUCAUUUUUUGUAUGAUCUCGUAAUUACACGAGUUUGAUAACGAUGCAUAAAGAAAAAUUCAUACCCCAAAAUUUACGUAUAUUUUCCUAGUUUUGUAAGUUACAAUAUUCUCAUUAUCGGGACUUCAUAUUUAAUUGAGUAUUUCUUUCUUCCAAUCAAGAGAGCAGAGCUAUAUAUACAGUAUUAUAGUAUUUUCAUUACCAUCAAGCUAUAAUCGAUGGGCAGGCCUCUAUUGGGCAACCUCUAAUAAGAUGGUAAGUUAUAUACCGAGCCUAUUGUGGUCGAGCGCCUAUGAGCGAGCCCAGUUGGUUGAGAUAUAAAGCCUAGUAUGGCUGAGCGCCUAUGAGUGAGCCUACUACGNNNNNNNNNNNNNNNNNNNNNNNNNAACUAUUUUACUUACUUUAUUGAGAGAGUUGAGUCAGUAUUAGCAGGUAAGCAUAUCUUCAAAUUAUCUUUGACUUUCAGCUACUUGCAAUUACUAUAUUAUCAGUUCAGUUUCAACUUUUAGUAUAUUGGCUUACAUACUUGGUAUAUUAUUUUGUACUGACGUCCCUUUUCUGGGGCUGCUGCAUUUCAUGCGUGCAGGUUCAGACAGAAAGACGGGUAGGCCUCCUCAUUAAGUGUUGCUCGAGUUCAGCUUGAUUAGUAAGCUCCAUGUCUUUCGGAGUUGCCGGGUCUAGAACCUUAUGUACAUCUUGUAUAUAUGUGUAUACAUGUUAUGAGUAGGUUGGAAAGCUAUUCUGAUCGCAGUAUAUCCAUCAGUAGAGACUUGUAGACAUAUCCUAUCAGUUAGUGCAAUAUGUUGGGCUUGUAGUCCUUGUAUGUAUAUUUCGUUGGUUUGUUAGCUGCAAUAAUUAUGACGGCCUUGUUGGCCCAGCUUUAUAUUGAUAUUUAGUCAACAAUCGCAGUUGUCUUGCAAUGUGGCCCAUGACAAAAGUAUGACAUCACAUAUUUAGAGUCUAUUAGUCGCAAGUUAGUAUGCAAGGAUAGGUGAGUCACCAGGUGCCGGUCUCGCCUCCGGGUUAGGGGCGGGACAAAAGUGGUAUCAGAGCAGUUCUGUCCUAGGAAGUCUACUAGCUG